RNAcentral lists this ribosomal RNA (651 nucleotides) under uncultured Flavobacterium sp. RNAcentral describes it as "bacterial SSU rRNA". It matches the Rfam family "Bacterial small subunit ribosomal RNA", at positions 8 to 658 of the family's 1533-position model. Lineage: Bacteria; Pseudomonadati; Bacteroidota; Flavobacteriia; Flavobacteriales; Flavobacteriaceae. The record is from RNAcentral.
AGAGUUUGAUCAUGGCUCAGGAUGAACGCUAGCGGCAGGCCUAACACAUGCAAGUCGAGGGGUAUUCAGUUUUCGGACUGGAGAGACCGGCGCACGGGUGCGUAACGCGUAUGCAAUCUACCUUUUACAGGGGAAUAGCCCAGAGAAAUUUGGAUUAAUGCCCCAUAGUAUAUAAACUUCGCAUGUUGUUUAUAUUAAAGUUCCAACGGUAAAAGAUGAGCAUGCGUCCCAUUAGUUAGUUGGUAAGGUAACGGCUUACCAAGACGAUGAUGGGUAGGGGUCCUGAGAGGGAGAUCCCCCACACUGGUACUGAGACACGGACCAGACUCCUACGGGAGGCAGCAGUGAGGAAUAUUGGACAAUGGGCGCAAGCCUGAUCCAGCCAUGCCGCGUGCAGGAAGAAGCAUCUAUGGUGUGUAAACUGCUUUUGUACAGGAAGAAACACUCCCUCGUGAGGGAGCUUGACGGUACUGUAAGAAUAAGGAUCGGCUAACUCCGUGCCAGCAGCCGCGGUAAUACGGAGGAUCCAAGCGUUAUUCGGAAUCAUUGGGUUUAAAGGGUCCGUAGGCGGUCUAAUAAGUCAGUGGUGAAAGCCCAUCGCUCAACGAUGGAACGGCCAUUGAUACUGUUAGACUUGAAUUACUGGGAAGU